This 421-nucleotide ribosomal RNA is filed under the name uncultured Gigasporaceae. RNAcentral's name for it is "SSU rRNA". It matches the Rfam family "Eukaryotic small subunit ribosomal RNA", at positions 459 to 886 of the family's 1831-position model. Lineage: Eukaryota; Fungi; Glomeromycota; Glomeromycetes; Diversisporales; Gigasporaceae. The record is from RNAcentral.
GGGAGGUAGUGACAAUAAAUAACAAUACGGGGUCCUUUCGGGUUUCGUAAUUGGAAUGAGUACAAUUUAAAUCUCUUAACGAGGAACAAUUGGAGGGCAAGUCUGGUGCCAGCAGCCGCGGUAAUUCCAGCUCCAAUAGCGUAUAUUAAAGUUGUUGCAGUUAAAAAGCUCGUAGUUGAAUUUCGGGAUUCUACCGUUGGUCGGGCUAACAAGUCUGUACUGGUGUGUAGAAUUUCUACCUUCUGGGGAACUAUCAUGUUAUUAAUUUAGCGUGGUGGGAAACCAGGACCUUUACCUUGAAAAAUUAGAGUGUUCAAAGCAGGCUUACGUCUGAAUACAUUAGCAUGGAAUAAUAGAAUAGGACGGUGGUCCUGUUUUGUUGGUUUCUGAAUCACCGUAAUGAUUAAUAGGGAUAGUUGGG